AUUAAUCCAUUUAUUAUUUGCAAGGGGGUUUAUAUCCGCACAUCCAGGUGGUAGAACCACUUCUGUUUCAAAGAUGGACUGGGGAAAGACAUUAAGUUUGGAGCAGCUCAGGGCUACGGAUUUAGCCUUUCUCCCUCGGGUCUCCAGACUCACUUAGGUCCAAGCUGCGGAGCAGGGACAGCGGAGCUCAGGCAGCCACGUACAGGCCCAGCCACCAGGUAGGAGAACCCGAUCCAACUCUAGGCUCGGAGAAGGGCAAGCCAGGCCGCACCGGGAUCCGGCCCCGGGACCGCAGACGCAGUCAUCUGGCAUCCCAGAGUCCAGCAUAAGAGCUGACAUAUAAGAACAGCCUUAAAUUAAAUGAAUAGCUGCUGAGAACCAGAAGGCGCCGGCUCCUUUGGAAGAGCCUUUCCCUAGAUUGCUUUGCCUCUGCUCUGGUUCCCCUUGGACAGUGGUCCCUGAACACCGACUUCAAGAAGACUCCAUGGAUGGCUGUCCAGUCUCAUCCACUGCAGUUUCCCCUCUGCGUUUCCUUCUUCACUUCCUUCACCCCAGUGAGGCACUCCGUAGGGGCAGAUCCUAGAUGAAGCAGCGGACAACAGGUUGAAGGACUGACCUCUGAGAGUGCCAACAGUCAACAGUGUGCUGUCAGAUCCAGACAAAAGAAGAAAACGUGUUCUAUGGAAGGGGGAGAACAGUCUGAUAGUUCUUUAAAGGCUGAUAGUGAGGAACGGUCAAAUUUGGGAGAAUUUAUGGCAGGGCUCCUGUGGUGUCCCUACUGGGUUAUGUAAUCUGAGUGUUCCUGCUGGACUGUGAUUGAGAGAGGCUGAGUGUUCCAGUGGUCCUGUUCAGCGCUUGUCCGUUAAUAAGAGACAACACCCGUUAGUCUCUAUAUUGUUUCUCUGUACUUUUGAUCUGGGAGACACUGACCAUCUUGUAGGAUAAAAGUCCAUGGUAAGAAUAAUUCAAACCCUCAUGAAUUUUUUUGUCUGUAGACCAGGUGGUGACAUCGUGUUUUGAGUUAAUUAGAGCAACAGAAUCACAGGGUGGGACUGAAUUCAUUUGAAAUAUUUGAUUGAAACAUGACCUUGCUAAUUAUGCAUUGGAGAUCAUUAUGGAACAUGAUUGGAUUCAUGAAGCACACACUACUGGUCAUAUGUGGCAACCUAGCAACCAGCUAAAUACAGCAUAGACUCUUCAGAGACUAGGAGAGGUAGACAUGGUUCUUUUCUCAUGGAGCUUACACCUUAAUGUCCCUGUGUGCUUGAAAAGCAGUGGCUAUUGCAUGUGUGCUGCCAUAGAGCUGUUCUUGAGCGCAGGCCUCUAGUUGGGGAGGAGUUCCUAGUGCUGUAGUCGUCAUGGUCACUGGCCAAGUACCCCUAAGCCUACAUUUUAGAUAUAGGCUGGUUAGUCUGUGAAUGCAGACUGCUAUUUUCUAGCAAAAGUCCAGGGAUGGCAGGGGAAGUGCUUGAGAUGUACAGGGCUUCUGGAGUGGGAAAUAUGAAAUUAUUUUGAUCAGGAAACAAGAAGGGAUGGGAUUCAGAACCAACUAUUGCUUCUGUUCUAUGGGGGAAACUACAGUAUGAAAUAUGCUGGGCUGGGAAACUUCCACACCUUGGUUUUAGUCCCUUCCUUCCUUCCCUUCUUCCUUUCUU
This is a long non-coding RNA of Microtus ochrogaster (prairie vole), 1655 nucleotides long. RefSeq lists it as uncharacterized. The transcript is spliced from 3 exons. NCBI's taxonomy places the organism in Eukaryota, Metazoa, Chordata, Mammalia, Rodentia, Cricetidae. The record is from RefSeq and is a predicted model, not a curated record.